UUCCGGUUGAUCCCGCCAGAGGUUACUGCUAUCGAGGUUCGACUAAGCCAUGCGAGUCGAAUGUAGCAAUACAUGGCGUACUGCUCAGUAACACGUGGACAACCUACCCUUAGGAUGGGGAUAAACCCGGGAAACUGGGUAUAAUACCCAAUAGAUCUGGUCUGCUGGAAUGCUUCCAGAUUUAAAACUCCGGUGCCUAAGGAUGGGUCUGCGGCCUAUCAGGUUGUAGUGGGUGUAGUGUACCUACUAGCCUACGACGGGUACGGGUUGUGAGAGCAAGAGCCCGGAGAUGGAUUCUGAGACACGAAUCCAGGCCCUACGGGGUGCAGCAGGCGCGAAAACUUUACAAUGCCGGCAACGGCGAUAAGGGGACCUCGAGUGCCAGGCUACAAAUCUGGCUGUCGCGAUGCCUAAAAAGCAUUGCAUAGCAAGGGCCGGGCAAGACCGGUGCCAGCCGCCGCGGUAACACCGGCGGCUCGAGUGGUAACCGUUAUUAUUGGGUCUAAAGGGUCUGUAGCCGGCCGGAUAAGUCUCUUGGGAAAUCUGGCAGCUUAACUGUCAGGCUUUCAGGAGAUACUGUCUGGCUCGAGGCCGGGAGAGGUGAGAGGUACUUCAGGGGUAGGGGUGAAAUCUUGUAAUCCUUGAAGGACCACCAGUGGCGAAGGCGUCUCACCAGAACGGACCUGACGGCAAGGGACGAAAGCUAGGGGCACGAACCGGAUUAGAUACCCGGGUAGUCCUAGCCGUAAACGAUACUCGCUAGGUGUCGGCCACGGUGCGACCGUUGUCGGUGCCGUAGGGAAGCCGUGAAGCGAGCCACCUGGGAAGUACGGCCGCAAGGCUGAAACUGAAAGGAAUUGGCGGG
RNAcentral lists this ribosomal RNA (865 nucleotides) under uncultured Methanosaeta sp. Its description in RNAcentral is "bacterial SSU rRNA". It matches the Rfam family "Archaeal small subunit ribosomal RNA", at positions 1 to 872 of the family's 1478-position model. The record is from RNAcentral. Lineage: Archaea; Methanobacteriati; Methanobacteriota; Methanomicrobia; Methanotrichales; Methanotrichaceae.